Cervus elaphus (red deer) is the source of this 655-nucleotide long non-coding RNA. RefSeq lists it as uncharacterized. The record is from RefSeq and is a predicted model, not a curated record. NCBI's taxonomy places the organism in Eukaryota, Metazoa, Chordata, Mammalia, Artiodactyla, Cervidae. The transcript has 2 exons.
ACCGGGAGUUGGUGAUGGACAGGGAGGCCUGGCGUGCUGUGGUUCAUGGGGUCGCAAAGAGUCGGACACAACUGAGUGACUGAACUGAACUGGACUGAGAGACCAGGUUCUUUAGGAGCAGAGCUGGAAAUAAGGAUUCUUGUGCAAUCACUUAUGAAGGAACAGGGAAGGAGACACCAGGUAAGACGUGGUUUCGCAUGAGCUCUAGCCUCUGCCUCGUCUCGGGAGGAGCUCUGGAGCCGACAUUGCUCUGUACCGUCUGGCCCACACUGAAGCGAAGAAGCACACCCACUCCAGUCACCUGCUAGCUCAAAGAAGUUGCGGCUGUGGGGUUGUAACUCCCAGGAACCUCAGCAAGGAUCAGCUCCAGCUGCCCAAGGGCACUUCUCAGGGACAAUCUUGAUUACAGGAUUUGGAGCCAGAGUCAUGAACAUGAAGGUUUAAUCACCCGGGAGAGGCUUUGUGGCUCCAGCUUCAGGACUGAAGAAACUUGAAAGCAGGAGGCCAAAAAGUCUUUACAAUUUUUCAGAGAAACCAGAGAUUCUAAGUGACCACACUAACUUUUAAAAACUGUUAACUGUAGCUUUUGUUUGAUCAAAUAUCGCAUAAAGAUUAGAGGUUUGAAAAAUAAAAUCUGUGAAGAAAGUAAAAAAAA